UAAAUAUCAGAAUCAAGUUUCAGAUUAUAGCAAAGUUUUGCCCAAGCCGAAUACAAGACAAAUAACAAAGUACAGGCCCAUGGAUCAUUCGCGAGACUGGCGACCACACAUUGAGAAGAAACAUACUAAUAAUAGUAGAAAUGUUGUCUGUUUCGGAUACAUGCUUCGCCGCGUUGAAGCUGGGAACUGUUGUGCAUUACCUUAAUCGAACUUGAUUUUGCGCAGCGGCUGCAGCAAAGCAAUGUUCGCACGGGGUCUUGAGGGGAUCGUUCGUCUUGCACUUGAUGCAUUUCUUCAGUCAUCGUUUGGCGGGUGCACGGGCGGCUUGUCGUUGUCUGGCUUCCAACCGCCUGAGAUGGCGGCGCGGAGUACAAAAUCCUGGUCACCCAUUAUCUCCGAGAGACGAUCUUGAGCAUAAGAGCAAUGUACAUAAUGAGGACCCAACCAAGUAAUCAGGAGUACAGUGCCCAAGCAAACAGACAAAAAAUGCAAUCUUUUUUCCAUUAAUUGAAGGAAUCCUAACCUUGCGCCUCGGUCAUGGGUCCAAAGAAUAUUGCUGUCCCGGCCGGCGCUGUGUUACCUCCGGGUGGACGGCGUGGUGGCGGCCGGACGCCCGCUGCUGCAGAAAAUGGCUCCCGAGAAAGAAAGGUGUAGUCAGCGAAGAGCGUGGGGGCGAGUCCAGUCGAUGGUGCCUCGUCUUGAAAGAUGGAGGCAUGCAGCAGAUCGGCGGCGCGGGGCUUCUUGGCUGCGAAGGACAAAGGGGAAAUAAGGUGGCUUUCAGAUUUGCCCGCCGCGCGCGUCCAUGGAUUCAAAGCACAAGCGGAGCAGAUGUUUUUAUAUUGAAACUUACUGGAUCCGGAAGCAGCUGAUCCGGAUAGGUCAUCCAUCUUCUUCUUC
Molecule: long non-coding RNA, 897 nt
Filed under: Triticum aestivum (bread wheat)
Lineage: Eukaryota; Viridiplantae; Streptophyta; Magnoliopsida; Poales; Poaceae
Description: long non-coding RNA (TAES_LNC008104)
Source: RNAcentral